RNAcentral lists this ribosomal RNA (760 nucleotides) under Argiope catenulata. RNAcentral's name for it is "eukaryotic LSU rRNA". It matches the Rfam family "Eukaryotic large subunit ribosomal RNA", at positions 382 to 882 of the family's 3401-position model. Lineage: Eukaryota; Metazoa; Arthropoda; Arachnida; Araneae; Araneidae. The record is from RNAcentral.
AGAGAGUUCAAGAGUACGUGAAACUGCUCAGAGGCAAACGGGUGGGCCCUCGAAAUCCUGUGGCGGGAGGAUUCAGUCUGUUGUUAUUGUUUCGCCGGAGACACCCAUAAUGGUUCCGCGGAGGCGGCCACUCCGGAGAGAUACAACGAUCGUGCAGGACGCAUUUGUUUCCCGUCCGAAGGACCCCGCAACCGGUUCGGAAACGGCCUUGAGGGCGAGCGAUGGCAGUUGGCCGGUGGCUCACGCACGUGGGUCGUCGGCUGUUAGCCGGUUCUCGUCUGGGCUCGUGGCCGGACCGUGGUGUCGCAAGGCCUAAUCUUAGGCUGCUUCGCCUCCUCCGUUCGCGGACGCCGGGAUCUCGUGGCAGGGGUUCGCACUUCUGCGGGCGCACGGACAGUCUCCGUGGCCCAGCGGUCGCGAUGCGUCCUCGUUGGCUGCGGCUGAACCCGUCGGAGGUUGGCGGUUCGCGGGGAGUAGAUCGGUCACCCACCCGACCCGUCUUGAAACACGGACCAAGGAGUCUAACAUGUGUGCGAGUCAAUGGGUCUCGAUUAAGCCCAGAGGCGCAAUGAAAGUAAAGAUCGGACACGACGCCGAUCGAGUUGGGAUCCUCGUUUAUUAAGACGAGGCGCACCAACGACCCGUCCUUUACAGUAUACUGUUUGGGCGGAGUUUGAGCAUACACGUUGGGACCCGAAAGAUGGUGAACUAUGCCCGGGCAGGACGAGGCCAGAGGAAACUCUGGUGGAGGUCCGCAGCG